This 484-nucleotide ribosomal RNA is filed under the name uncultured bacterium. Its description in RNAcentral is "partial 16S ribosomal RNA". It matches the Rfam family "Bacterial small subunit ribosomal RNA", at positions 30 to 507 of the family's 1533-position model. The record is from RNAcentral.
AUUGAACGCUGGCGGCAGGCCUAACACAUGCAAGUCGAGCGGAUGAAGGGAGCUUGCUCCUGGAUUCAGCGGCGGACGGGUGAGUAAUGCCUAGGAAUAUGCCUGGUAGUGGGGGAUAACGUCAGGACACGGGCGCUAAUACCGCAUACGUCCAGAGGGAGAAAGGGGGGGAUCUUCGGACCUCAAGCUAUCAGAUGAGCCUAGGCCGGAUUAGCUAGUUGGUGGGGUAAAGGCCUACCAAGGCGACGAUCCGUAACUGGUCUGAGAGGAUGAUCAGUCACACUGGAACUGAGACACGGUCCAGACUCCUACGGGAGGCAGCAGUGGGGAAUAUUGGACAAUGGGCGAAAGCCUGAUCCAGCCAUGCCGCGUGUGUGAAGAAGGUCUUCGGAUUGUAAAGCACUUUAAGUUGGGAGGAAGGGCAGUAAGUUAAUACCUUGCUGUUUUGACGUUACCAACAGAAUAAGCACCGGCUAACUUCGUG